RNAcentral lists this ribosomal RNA (494 nucleotides) under Enterococcus faecium. RNAcentral describes it as "bacterial SSU rRNA". It matches the Rfam family "Bacterial small subunit ribosomal RNA", at positions 1 to 474 of the family's 1533-position model. Lineage: Bacteria; Bacillati; Bacillota; Bacilli; Lactobacillales; Enterococcaceae. The record is from RNAcentral.
UAGAGUUUGGAUCUGGCUCAGGACGAACGCUGGCGGCGUGCCUAAUACAUGCAAGUCGUACGCUUCUUUUUCCACCGGAGCUUGCUCCACCGGAAAAAGAAGAGUGGCGAACGGGUGAGUAACACGUGGGUAACCUGCCCAUCAGAAGGGGAUAACACUUGGAAACAGGUGCUAAUACCGUAUAACAAUCGAAACCGCAUGGUUUUGAUUUGAAAGGCGCUUUCGGGUGUCGCUGAUGGAUGGACCCGCGGUGCAUUAGCUAGUUGGUGAGGUAACGGCUCACCAAGGCCACGAUGCAUAGCCGACCUGAGAGGGUGAUCGGCCACAUUGGGACUGAGACACGGCCCAAACUCCUACGGGAGGCAGCAGUAGGGAAUCUUCGGCAAUGGACGAAAGUCUGACCGAGCAACGCCGCGUGAGUGAAGAAGGUUUUCGGAUCGUAAAACUCUGUUGUUAGAGAAGAACAAGGAUGAGAGUAACUGUCAUCCCUGACG